GAUUUCUGUUGCUUGUGGCUGAAAGAGUAGAGUCCUGAUCUUCGUGCUGCUGUCAGUGGUCUCUCCCAGCCUACCUUCCACUGCACCAGGACCUGGCGGGGCUUUUUCAGAAACCCUUGGCCCACUCGCCAUUAGAAGUGAUGACUAAGCCAAAGGAUUGAGGGAGGGAGUCAGCCGUGUUUGCUCACAGCAGCCUGGAGUCAGAAAGAACAAAGGGCAUGAGAGAGAAACCAGGAAGUCCAGGAAGUAGACUGUGGACCUAGGAUCUUGUAUGGGUUUGGCACUCUUUCCCACACUGUGUCAGCAGCUGCAGGACCAGUCCUCCGUGGGUGAACCUUCUCGGAGAAGUCACCGGACCACACACUUCUCUCCACACAUCUGCACUGGAGCAGUGCAAGCAGUUAGUGCUCACUGACCCAUCCUCUGACCAACUUUAAAAUCGAAUGCAAGAGACGCCUACGGUCCUGGGUUUAUUGCUACACUACCUACAACAGUUAAGGUCAUUCCUGUGGGAGUCUCCAGCGGUGAAAGAGAGAAGUCACAGUUUAAAAAAUUCGCAUCAAGGACGAACACAAAGAAACUGCACCAACAAUGACCACAAACGUUAUCAAGAUCCUAGUUCUUGCCAUCAGCAAAGAGGACAUAUUCUUCUGAUAGUGGCCCUGAGGCCAUCAAAUCCCACAGGAA
RNAcentral lists this long non-coding RNA (687 nucleotides) under Fukomys damarensis (Damara mole-rat). Its description in RNAcentral is "lncRNA (ENSFDAG00000023820.1)". Lineage: Eukaryota; Metazoa; Chordata; Mammalia; Rodentia; Bathyergidae. The record is from RNAcentral.